Molecule: small nucleolar RNA, 62 nt
Filed under: Leishmania infantum JPCM5
Lineage: Eukaryota; Euglenozoa; Kinetoplastea; Trypanosomatida; Trypanosomatidae
Source: RNAcentral
UGAUGAUUCGCCGUGCAUUCCUGUGGUAUCUGAUGCAUCUUGCAUGAACACGAAAAACGCAA